Manihot esculenta (cassava) is the source of this 2434-nucleotide RNA transcript. It is a transcript of the gene named serine/arginine-rich splicing factor SC35, with no coding region annotated. The transcript has 9 exons. The record is from RefSeq and is a predicted model, not a curated record. NCBI's taxonomy places the organism in Eukaryota, Viridiplantae, Streptophyta, Magnoliopsida, Malpighiales, Euphorbiaceae.
GAUAGUUAUUCCACCGAAAAGCUUACAAACCCUAAUCCUAUCUCAAUCUUCUAUCGCUCUCUCUCUCUGCAUCCACUCUCUAGAAACCAAAAAUGUCUCACUUCGGCAGGUCUGGCCCUCCGGAUAUCUCUGACACCUACUCUCUCCUUGUCCUCAACAUCACCUUCCGUACUACUGCUGAUGAUUUGUUUCCGCUUUUUGACAAGUACGGGAAGGUAGUUGACAUCUUCAUCCCCAGAGAUCGAAGGACUGGUGACUCUCGUGGCUUUGCAUUUGUGCGCUACAAGUAUGCGGAUGAGGCACAAAAGGCAGUGGAUAGGCUAGAUGGAAGAGUUGUUGAUGGGCGUGAGAUAACAGUUCAGUUUGCAAAAUAUGGACCCAAUGCCGAGAGGAUUCAUAAAGGAAGGAUUGUCGAAUCUGUUCCAAGGUCAAGGCACAGAUCACGGAGCCGUAGUCCCCGAAGAAGGUACCGAGAUGACUAUAAAGAUAAAGACCAUAAGAAGAGAAGUCGUAGCAGGAGUUUGGACAGGUAUGAGCGUGACAAGAAUCGUGGAAGGGACAGAGACUAUCGUCGUCGGAGCAGGAGUCGCAGUGCCAGUCCUGAUUACUCUAGAGGACGGGGUAGAGGACGUUAUGAUGAUGAGCGGAGGAGUGGCAGUCGAUCAGCGGAUAGUGCAUCCCCUGUUAGACGUAGUCCAAGCCCUCAAAGGAGUUCUUCCCCCCGCAAGAAUUCUCCCCCUAAGGCUGAAAGCCCGGAUAGACGCAGUCGUGAUGAUCGUUCCCCAACUCCACGAAGUGCCUCGCCUAGAGGUCGACAUGCCGCCUCUCGUAGCCCAUCCCCACGAAAUUCAGAUGUUGAUGAAUGAACUUGCGGGUUGCAUGGGAAAUUUUAUGGAGACAUGACUAGUGCAUUUCUCAUGGCCAUGUUACUAAUGUUGAAGACCAAUGAGCAUCAUGAGUGUUCUAGUCAGAAUUUUUAUGAGCUAGUUUUGCUGUUCCCUGGAAGAUUCCUAUGGGGGCUGAUGUCCAGAAUGUUGAAGUUGUGGCUCUUGUGGCUGUUGAUGCUGUAUGUAAAAUGUAGAUGGAUGAUCGUGAUAGUGGUAACUCAAAAUUAUCUAAUGAUUGGUAAGAAAUGAAGUCACCUUGGUUUUUGAAGCACUUUGUGUCAUCCAGGUGUCUGAUGUGGACCUGAUUUUCCUGUGGCAUUUGUUUUACUUUGGGAAAAUGUUCCUCAUUUGGGAUAGUAGUUGCUGUGGUGGUUUAGAAGGUCGACACAAGAUGAACGUGUUUACCUGUAGCUGAUGCUGCACAUGAAAUGGGACCUGUUACACAGUAGUUCUUUUGCUGAUACUAAAAUCAAACAUAAUAUGCUGCACUUAAUUGUACAUGGUAACAUGUUUUGGUUUAAUUAUUUGUUUGGGGCAUUCAUUAGAGUUUUACCAUGUUUAGCAUGUGAAGUUUGACUCAUGUUGCUUAAUGUAGCAAGUAGCAUACGAGUCCGUGAUGGUAGCUGUGAAGUGGCAGCUGAUGCCUGUUCUGUUGUUUCAUAUUCAUGGGUUCGAGGGUAACUUAUGCGAGUACUAAUGAAUAAACCAUCUGUAGCGGGCUGUUGCUGCCCUUGUUGAUGGGAUCGGGUCGGUAAUGAUACUAGCAGUUUUGAUAUUGAUGAUGGCUGCCUAUGUGUGUUGCUGGCUUGGGAUCAAUUCCAAAAGACCUGCUUUGACUUGUAAGCUUGCCUAAUGUCAUGUGCAGACAAAUAUCUAUUAUACUGCCGUAGGUUGUCCUUAAAAUUUUCUUUGCAAGUUGCUGAAGUUGUUUCUAAUGCCCGUGAUUAAAUGAUUGUGCUUUGCUUAUGUGGUGCAUACACCAAGUUGCUUGAUAUUGCUACUUCUUUGUGUUCUUGUCAGCUGCAAGUGACUAAAGCUUAUGUGUUCAUUGCACUAGGCAUGAGUAAUGUUGGGAAAAUAAUUUUAUAAUGAUUCAACUAGAAUUCUAAUGCUAAAUUUGAUAUAUUGUGUUCCCAUCUUGUAAAAGCUGAUUUGUUCUUUUCCUCUGCGAUAUUAAACUUAAAUUACUGCUUGAUGGGGCUGGUUAAGGGAAAAUCUAACCGUCAGACAAUUCAGGACAAUGCCUCGGCAGUUGGCUAUCGCCACAUCUCUCUCUCUCUCUUUUUUUUUUUUCUCCCUUUCCUCCUUGCUCUCCAGCUAUAUGUUACUGUUUUUGUGGAUUGAACUGGAUAAUGUAUUUCCUUGAUGGUGUUCGCUGGUUUGUUUUUUCAUGUGAAUUUUGUUGGGUUUCUUAUUAAUGUGGUAGUCAGGAAUUUUUUAUUUUAUUUUAUUUUUUGAUUCAGUAGGUAUCUUGUUUACUGGUUUAAGGAUUCUCCAUGUAACUUCUCAUUAUUCUAUAUUAAAAUUUUGCUGUUUAUUGCACUGCA